UACAGAGGGGGCAAGCGUUGUUCGGAAUUACUGGGCGUAAAGGGCGCGUAGGCGGCCGCCUAAGUCAGACGUGAAAUCCCUCGGCUCAACCGGGGAACUGCGUCUGAUACUGGGUGGCUUGAAUUCGGGAGAGGGAUGCGGAAUUCCAGGUGUAGCGGUGAAAUGCGUAGAUAUAUGGAGGAAUACCGGUGGCGAAGGCGGUCUUCUGGACGGUGACUGACGCUGAGGCGCGAAAGCGUGGGGAGCAAACGGG
This 253-nucleotide ribosomal RNA is filed under the name uncultured bacterium. RNAcentral's name for it is "partial 16S ribosomal RNA". It matches the Rfam family "Bacterial small subunit ribosomal RNA", at positions 524 to 776 of the family's 1533-position model. The record is from RNAcentral.